AAUGAACGCUGGCGGCAGGCCUAAUACAUGCAAGUCGAACGCUUGUAGCAAUACAAGAGUGGCGCACGGGUGAAUAACACGUGGGAAUAUGCCUUUUGGUACGGGACAACCUCGGGAAACUGAGGCUAAUACCGUAUGGUCCCUUCGGGGUAAAGAUUUAUCGACAAAAGAUUAGCCCGCGUCUGAUUAGCUAGUUGGUGAGGUAACGGCUCACCAAGGCGACGAUCAGUAGCUGGUCUGAGAGGACGAUCAGCCACACUGGGACUGAGACACUGCCCAGACCCUUACGGGAGGCAGCAGUAGGGAAUAUUGGACAAUGGGCGCAAGCCUGAUCCAGCCAUGCCGCGUGAGUGAUGAAGGCCUUCGGGUUGUAAAACUCUUUAGCCCGCGAAUAAAAUGACGGUAGCGGGAAAAUAAGCCCCGGCUAACUUCGUGCCAGCAGCCGCCGUAA
This 451-nucleotide ribosomal RNA is filed under the name uncultured bacterium. RNAcentral describes it as "partial 16S ribosomal RNA". It matches the Rfam family "Bacterial small subunit ribosomal RNA", at positions 29 to 523 of the family's 1533-position model. The record is from RNAcentral.